Molecule: ribosomal RNA, 836 nt
Filed under: uncultured bacterium
Lineage: Bacteria
Description: bacterial SSU rRNA
Rfam family: Bacterial small subunit ribosomal RNA
Source: RNAcentral
AGAGUUUGAUCCUGGCUCAGGACGAACGCUGGCGGCGUGCCUAACACAUGCAAGUCGAACGGAACUUCUUUAAUUGACUUCUUCGGAAUGAUUUUGAUUAAGUUUAGUGGCGGACGGGUGAGUAACGCGUGAGUAACCUGCCUCUAAGAGGGGAAUAACAUUCUGAAAAGAAUGCUAAUACCGCAUAACAUAUAUUUAUCGCAUGGUAGAUAUAUCAAAGAUUUAUCGCUUAGAGAUGGACUCGCGUCCGAUUAGUUAGUUGGUGAGGUAACGGCUCACCAAGACCGCGAUCGGUAGCCGGACUGAGAGGUUGAACGGCCACAUUGGGACUGAGACACGGCCCAGACUCCUACGGGAGGCAGCAGUGGGGGAUAUUGCGCAAUGGGGGAAACCCUGACGCAGCAACGCCGCGUGAAGGAUGAAGGUCUUCGGAUUGUAAACUUCUUUUAUUAAGGACGAAGAAAGUGACGGUACUUAAUGAAUAAGCUCCGGCUAACUACGUGCCAGCAGCCGCGGUAAUACGUAGGGAGCAAGCGUUGUCCGGAUUUACUGGGUGUAAAGGGUGCGUAGGCGGCUUUGCAAGUUAGAUGUGAAAUCUAUGGGCUCAACCCAUAGCCUGCAUUUGAAACUGCAGAGCUUGAGUGAAGUAGAGGCAGGCGGAAUUCCCCGUGUAGCGGUGAAAUGCGUAGAGAUGGGGAGGAACACCAGUGGCGAAGGCGGCCUGCUGGGCUUUAACUGACGCUGAGGCACGAAAGCGUGGGUAGCAAACAGGAUUAGAUACCCUGGUAGUCCACGCUGUAAACGAUGAUUACUAGGUGUGGGGGGUCUGACCCCUU